UACAGAGGUCCCAAGCGUUGUUCGGAUUCACUGGGCGUAAAGGGUGCGUAGGCGGUUGGGUAAGUCUGAUGUGAAAUCUCACAGCUUAACUGUGAAACUGCAUUGGAUACUAUUCGGCUAGAGGAAUGGAGGGGAGACUGGAAUACUUGGUGUAGCAGUGAAAUGCGUAGAUAUCAAGUGGAACACCAGUGGCGAAGGCGGAGUCUCUGGACAUUUCCUGACGCUGAGGCACGAAAGCCAGGGGAGCAAACGGG
Molecule: ribosomal RNA, 254 nt
Filed under: uncultured bacterium
Lineage: Bacteria
Description: partial 16S ribosomal RNA
Rfam family: Bacterial small subunit ribosomal RNA
Source: RNAcentral